UGCGGGGGGGGCAAGCGUUGUUCGGAAUUACUGGGCGUAAAGGGCUCGUAGGCGGCCAACUAAGUCCGACGUGAAAUCCCCAGGCUUAACCUGGGAACUGCGUCGGAUACUGGAUGGCUUGAAUUCGGGAGAGGGAUGCAGAAUUCCAGGUGUAGCGGUGAAAUGCGUAGAUAUCUGGAGGAAUACCGGUGGCGAAGGCGGCAUCCUGGACCGACAUUGACGCUGAUGAGCGAAAGCUAGGGGAGCAAACGGG
This 253-nucleotide ribosomal RNA is filed under the name uncultured bacterium. RNAcentral's name for it is "partial 16S ribosomal RNA". It matches the Rfam family "Bacterial small subunit ribosomal RNA", at positions 524 to 776 of the family's 1533-position model. The record is from RNAcentral.